RNAcentral lists this ribosomal RNA (253 nucleotides) under uncultured bacterium. RNAcentral describes it as "partial 16S ribosomal RNA". It matches the Rfam family "Bacterial small subunit ribosomal RNA", at positions 524 to 776 of the family's 1533-position model. The record is from RNAcentral.
UACAGAGGGGGCAAGCGUUAUUCGGAAUUAUUGGGCGUAAAGGGCGCGUAGGUGGCUUGGCAAGUGGAAGGUGAAAUCCCUCGGCUCAACUGAGGAACUGCCUUCCAGACUGCUUUGCUUGAGGCCGGGAGAGGCGAGUGGAAUUCCCAGUGUAACGGUGAAAUGCGUAGAUAUUGGGAGGAACACCAGUGGCGAAGGCGACUCGCUGGACCGGUUCUGACGCUGAGGCGCGAAAGCGUGGGGAGCGAACAGG